RNAcentral lists this ribosomal RNA (490 nucleotides) under Staphylococcus hominis. RNAcentral's name for it is "bacterial SSU rRNA". It matches the Rfam family "Bacterial small subunit ribosomal RNA", at positions 438 to 919 of the family's 1533-position model. Lineage: Bacteria; Bacillati; Bacillota; Bacilli; Caryophanales; Staphylococcaceae. The record is from RNAcentral.
AUUAGGGAAGAACAAACGUGUAAGUAACUGUGCACGUCUUGACGGUACCUAAUCAGAAAGCCACGGCUAACUACGUGCCAGCAGCCGCGGUAAUACGUAGGUGGCAAGCGUUAUCCGGAAAUAUUGGGCGUAAAGCGCGCGUAGGCGGUUUUUUAAGUCUGAUGUGAAAGCCCACGGCUCAACCGUGGAGGGUCAUUGGAAACUGGAAAACUUGAGUGCAGAAGAGGAAAGUGGAAAUCCAUGUGUAGCGGUGAAAUGCGCAGAGAUAUGGAGGAACACCAGUGGCGAAGGCGACUUUCUGGUCUGUAACUGACGCUGAUGUGCGAAAGCGUGGGGAUCAAACAGGAUUAGAUACCCUGGUAGUCCACGCCGUAAACGAUGAGUGCUAAGUGUUAGGGGGUUUCCGCCCCUUAGUGCUGCAGCUAACGCAUUAAGCACUCCGCCUGGGGAGUACGACCGCAAGGUUGAAACUCAAAGGAAAUGACGGGGA